ACAGCUUUGGACAAAAGUCUAUAGCCAGUGCAUUCGUAACUCCCCAUCCACAAGAGCUGACUGUGGCUCUGGGAAGACAUUUUCCUCAUUUGAUUUCUUUUUUCUUAUAGUCUUCUUGUCCAGUUCUCAGGUGUUUGCCACCUCUUAGAAUUUCACCUGUGUGGGUCCCGUGUUUGAGAAAGUCCCAGGACUUGUCAGCUGGUAUAGGCCUCAUAAAAGACAGUUCU
This is an unclassified non-coding RNA of Apteryx haastii (Great spotted kiwi), 227 nucleotides long. Lineage: Eukaryota; Metazoa; Chordata; Aves; Apterygiformes; Apterygidae. The record is from Ensembl.